UACUCCUACGGGAGGCAGCAGUGGGGAAUAUUGCACAAUGGGGGAAACCCUGAUGCAGCGACGCCGCGUGGAGGAAGAAGUUUUUCGGAUUGUAAACUUCUGUCAGUCAGGGAAGAUAAUGACGUACC
Molecule: ribosomal RNA, 128 nt
Filed under: uncultured Faecalibacterium sp.
Lineage: Bacteria; Bacillati; Bacillota; Clostridia; Eubacteriales; Oscillospiraceae
Description: partial 16S ribosomal RNA
Rfam family: Bacterial small subunit ribosomal RNA
Source: RNAcentral